Molecule: unclassified non-coding RNA, 225 nt
Filed under: plant metagenome
Description: partial contains small subunit ribosomal RNA and internal transcribed spacer 1
Source: RNAcentral
AGUCGUGACAAGGUUUCCGUAGGUGAACCUGCGAAGGAUCAUUACAAGUGCAGGCUACCGAACGCUGGAAACAGCGGUUAGGAGCUUACACCCACCCGUGUUUAGCAUACUAUUGUUGCUUUGGCGGGCCGUGGCCUCCACUGCGGGCUCUGCUCGUGUGUGCCCGCCAAGAGGACCAAACUCUGAAUGUUAGUGAUGUCCGAGUUACUAAUCUAAUAGUUAAAA